GUAAAAUACUGCCUCCUGUAUGAUCACCAAAGUUAAGCAACUUUGAGCCAGGUCAGUACUUAGAGGGGUGUCCACUUGGGAAUACCAGAUGCUGUAAG
This is a non-coding RNA of Acanthosepion pharaonis, 98 nucleotides long. Lineage: Eukaryota; Metazoa; Mollusca; Cephalopoda; Sepiida; Sepiidae. The record is from the annotation of a GenBank genome assembly.